AUUGAACGCUGGCGGCGCGCCUAAUACAUGCAAGUCGAGCGAGAAGGUGUAGCAAUACACUUGUAAAGCGGCGAACGGGUGAGGAAUGCAUGGGUAACCUACCCUCGAGUGGGGAAUAACUAGCCGAAAGGUUAGCUAAUACCGCAUACGUUUCCGGAACUUCGGUUUCGGAAAGAAAGCAAUACCGUGGGUAUUGCGCUCCUGGAUGGGCUCAUGUCCUAUCAGCUUGUUGGUGAGGUAACGGCUCACCAAGGCUUCGACGGGUAGCUGGUCUGAGAGGACGAUCAGCCACACUGGCACUGCGACACGGGCCAGACUCCUACGGGAGGCAGCAGUAAGGAAUAUUGCGCAAUGGACGAAAGUCUGACGCAGCGACGCCGCGUGGGGGAUGAAGGUCUUCGGAUUGUAAA
RNAcentral lists this ribosomal RNA (410 nucleotides) under uncultured bacterium. RNAcentral describes it as "bacterial SSU rRNA". It matches the Rfam family "Bacterial small subunit ribosomal RNA", at positions 30 to 429 of the family's 1533-position model. The record is from RNAcentral.